RNAcentral lists this transfer RNA (75 nucleotides) under Rugosimonospora africana. RNAcentral describes it as "tRNA-Val". It matches the Rfam family "tRNA". Rfam says of the family: Transfer RNA (tRNA) molecules are approximately 80 nucleotides in length. Their secondary structure includes four short double-helical elements and three loops (D, anti-codon, and T loops). The record is from RNAcentral. Lineage: Bacteria; Bacillati; Actinomycetota; Actinomycetes; Micromonosporales; Micromonosporaceae.
GCCCGUGUAGCUCAGUUGGGAGAGCGCUGCGUUCACACCGCAGAGGUUCCCAGGUUCGAAUCCUGGCGCGGGCAC